This 367-nucleotide long non-coding RNA is filed under the name Medicago truncatula (barrel medic). RNAcentral describes it as "lncRNA gene15437". The record is from RNAcentral. Lineage: Eukaryota; Viridiplantae; Streptophyta; Magnoliopsida; Fabales; Fabaceae.
CACAACAUAAAGUUGAAAGAAAACCAUUACCUCUUUUUCCGAUCUCCCUCUCUUUGUUUGAAUCCGGUCCGGUUCUCCUCCUUCUUCUUCGCGACCUCACGCAGAUUCCAAGUUUGGAUCUGCUCUCUCUCCGAUUCGGUUCCGGCGCGCCCCUUUUGCUCCGGUUCGGUUUGCUUUGUUUUGUUAUGUGUUGAUUUGAGUUGGUUUUGUGAAUUUGUGCUGUUUAUGUUAACAAAUGUUCAUGAAUGUUGUUGGAGAGAGAGAAGGAAAUUGUGUUUGUGACUUGAUUGGAAAAAAUGUGUGGUUGCUGAUUUUUCUGUGAACAGUGAUUUUUUCUCUGGCCCAUUUCCCAAUGAUUGACAGGCUU